CUCUGCCUGGUCUACUAGAAGUGAAUUAACGUCUAAUCUCUCCAAAUGUCACUCACUGCAGAGUAAUACCAUUUGACUUGAAAUUCAGGUCCGUAGAGAGAACCUGCUUUUGGGGAGAAAAAAAACAUUUAUCUCUUAUCAGCCAUCCUCAUAGCCCCCCAGCUGGUGUGUAGGUCCUGUCUGUUUUCUGAGGGUGUCAGUACUAGGACUGGUGUGUAGGUCCUGUCUGUUUUCUGAGGGUGUCAGUACUAGGGCUGGUGUGUAGGUCCUGUCUGUUUUCUGAGGGUGCCUGUACUAGGGCUGGUAUAGGUCCUGUCUGUUUUCUGAGGGUGUCUGUACUAGGGCUGGUGUGUAGGUCCUGUCUGUUUUCUGAGGGUGUCAGUACUAGGACUGGUGUGUAGGUCCUGUCUGUUUUCUGAGGGUGCCUGUACUAGGGCUGGUGUGUAGGUCCUGUCUGUUUUCUGAGGGUGUCAGUACUAGGACUGGUGUGUAGGCCCUGUCUGUUUUCUGAGGGUGUCAGUACUAGGGCUGGUGUGUAGGUCCUGUCUGUUUUCUGAGGGUGUCAGUACUAGGGCUGGUGUGUAGGUCCUGUCUGUUUUCUGAGGGUGUCAGUACUAGGGCUGGUGUGUAGGUCCCGUCUGUUUUCUGAGGGUGUCAGUACUAGGACUGGUGUGUAGGUCCUGUCUGUUUUCUGAGGGUGUCAGUACUAGGGCUGGUGUGUAGGUCCUGUCUGUUUUCUGAGGGUGUCUGUACUAGGGCUGGUGUGUAGGUCCUGUCUGUUUUCUGAGGGUGUCAGUACUAGGACUGGUGUGUAGGCCCUGUCUGUUUUCUGAGGGUGUCAGUACUAGGGCUGGUGUGUAGGUCCUGUCUGUUUUCUGAGGGUGUCUGUACUAGGGCUGGUGUGUAGGUCCUGUCUGUUUUCUGAGGGUGUCAGUACUAGGACUGGUGUGUAGGUCCUGUCUGUUUUCUGAGGGUGCCUGUACUAGGGCUGGUGUGUAGGCCCUGUCUGUUUUCUGAGGGUGUCUGUACUAGGGCUGGUGUGUAGGUCCUGUCUGUUUUCUGAGGGUGUCAGUACUAGGGCUGGUGUGUAGGUCCUGUCUGUUUUCUGAGGGUGUCAGUACUAGGACUGGUGUGUAGGUCCUGUCUGUUUUCUGAGGGUGUCAGUACUAGGGCUGGUGUGUAGGUCCUGUCUGUUUUCUGAGGGUGUCAGUACUAGGACUGGUGUGUAGGUCCUGUCUGUUUUCUGAGGGUGUCUGUACUAGGGCUGGUAUAGGUCCUGUCUGUUUUCUGAGGGUGCCUGUACUAGGGCUGGUGUGUAGGUCCUGUCUGUUUUCUGAGGGUGUCUGUACUAGGGCUGGUAUAGGUCCUGUCUGUUUUCUGAGGGUGUCUGUACUAGGGCUGGUGUGUAGGUCCUGUCUGUUUUCUGAGGGUGUCAGUACUAGGACUGGUGUGUAGGUCCUGUCUGUUUUCUGAGGGUGUCUGUACUAGGGCUGGUAUAGGUCCUGUCUGUUUUCUGAGGGUGCCUGUACUAGGGCUGGUGUGUAGGUCCUGUCUGUUUUCUGAGGGUGUCUGUACUAGGGCUGGUAUAGGUCCUGUCUGUUUUCUGAGGGUGCCUGUACUAGGGCUGGUGUGUAGGUCCUGUCUGUUUUCUGAGGGUGUCAGUACUAGGGCUGGUAUAGGUCCUGUCUGUUUUCUGAGGGUGUCUGUACUAGGGCUGGUGUGUAGGUCCUGUCUGUUUUCUGAGG
Oncorhynchus keta (chum salmon) is the source of this 1745-nucleotide long non-coding RNA. RefSeq lists it as uncharacterized. The transcript has 4 exons. NCBI's taxonomy places the organism in Eukaryota, Metazoa, Chordata, Actinopteri, Salmoniformes, Salmonidae. The record is from RefSeq and is a predicted model, not a curated record.